RNAcentral lists this unclassified non-coding RNA (184 nucleotides) under fungal sp. RNAcentral describes it as "partial internal transcribed spacer region". The stretch from base 1 to 46 matches the Rfam family "Eukaryotic small subunit ribosomal RNA", at positions 1786 to 1831 of the family's 1831-position model. The record is from RNAcentral. Lineage: Eukaryota; Fungi.
AAGUCGUAACAAGGUUUCCGUAGGUGAACCUGCGGAAGGAUCAUUAUAAAGUGUUGUUGUGGUGGCUCCUUUUGGGGGGUCCACUACUUCAUCCUUGUGAACUGUAUUUUUUAUGCUUUGUGUCAUUUUUUUAUACUGUUGUUUAACAAUAAGACAACUUUCAGCAAUGGAUCUCUUGGCUCUU